AGGCAGCAUCCUCACGAACCAAAGAACGGCAUAAGGGGCCCCUGUUUCCUGAGACCCAGUCAGAGCUCCUAUACUCUCCCACCUUGUUCCUCUGAGCUGACAAAUGACAUCGGAGAGGGGACUAGGUUGGAAGGAAGACAAGGCAUUGCACUCACGCGAGGAGGAUUCAGUCUUGGUCCCUAGGGCGAUGGUGAUGAGGAGGAAGAAGGGAAUGGCAGCCACGGAGAUCUUCAUGCUGUGGGAAGCUGUUGCGGGAGGAGAGCUGGCCUGGUGGGAGCUUCAGAGGCUCCUGCGGUGAGGAAUUGUUGAGAAAUGAUCAUUGAGGCCAAAUAUUUUUUAAAAUAAGGGAGCUGAGACUUGGAAGGGAAGUAGGAAAGCAGUGAUGCCUCAGCAAUGUCAUAUCCUGCACAUGUGUUGUUGGUGGCCUGAAGGAAGCAGGGAGAGCCAAGGUUUAAGGCAGGAAAUGGUCUUCCAUCCCCCAGUGGGAAGAAGUUCAACUCUUUUGAUAGAAGCCUUUCCCUAGGCAUGAACAUGAGCACAGGGCUGGGGGCACUGUCUCACACUUAGCAAAAGAUCUCAAGGCUGGAUGUGUCCUGUAUCCAAUUCCAUCUCAGGCCUUAGAACAGGCCACGUGGGGCCUGGACAUUCAGGAUCUGUUCAUCUGGAGACUAGAGGGUGUUUGGGGUAAUGGAAUGAGGCCAGGACUCCCCCAAGUCAGGUCUCAUUGGUCAAGGGAAAUCCUAACUUAAACUCGAAGCAGAACCCGCAGUUCUCAGUCUCAUCUCCAUUCUGGUCACCACACCAUGGAGUGAAGAAGUGCUGUGGUGCUCAGUAGAUAAUUCACUUAUAUAAUGGUUGCUAUACACACAAGCC
RNAcentral lists this long non-coding RNA (873 nucleotides) under Pan troglodytes (chimpanzee). RNAcentral describes it as "long non-coding RNA NONPTRT007155". The record is from RNAcentral. Lineage: Eukaryota; Metazoa; Chordata; Mammalia; Primates; Hominidae.